CAAAAACAUAACUAUAUGUUACAUAUAUAGCAAUUUCUGCUCCAUGAGAUAAAACUUAAAUAGCCGCAGUACUUUGACUGUGCAAAGGUAGCAUAAUCAAUUGUCUUAUAAUUUAAGUCUAGAAUGAAGGAAAAAAUGAAAGGUUCCUGUCUACUUACGAAGGGAUAGAAGUUACUAAUCAAGUGAAAAUUCUUGAGUAUAUAUAUUAGACGAGAAGACCCUGGAAAUUUGUUGUAAAUGACUCAUAUAAGCAUUUUGUUGGGGCGACAAAGUAACAGUUGAAACUUACUUUAAAUGGAUAUGAUAUUUAUAUAGCGUAUAAAGAAAUUACUCCAGGGAUAACAGCAUAAUAUCUUUGAAGUUUAUGACCUCGAUGUUGGACUAGGAUAGUUAAUUAUCUAGAAGAUAACUAAUUACGCUCUGUUCGCGCGGUAAUUUCCUACGUGAUCUGA
This 452-nucleotide ribosomal RNA is filed under the name Cryptomastix hendersoni. RNAcentral's name for it is "partial 16S ribosomal RNA". It matches the Rfam family "Bacterial large subunit ribosomal RNA", at positions 1808 to 2608 of the family's 2925-position model. Lineage: Eukaryota; Metazoa; Mollusca; Gastropoda; Stylommatophora; Polygyridae. The record is from RNAcentral.